This is a long non-coding RNA of Melopsittacus undulatus (budgerigar), 1212 nucleotides long. RefSeq lists it as uncharacterized. The record is from RefSeq and is a predicted model, not a curated record. NCBI's taxonomy places the organism in Eukaryota, Metazoa, Chordata, Aves, Psittaciformes, Psittaculidae. The transcript is spliced from 3 exons.
CUCCAGGUAAAUUCCACUUAUAUACUAUCAAUAUAAAAUGUAAUAACAAAUCUAUAACUAUAUUUGACAUCCUGCGCAUCCCUGACUGGUACCCAGCAUCCCAGCACUGUUAGGGAUGCAGCCCAUAUGGGAUGGCUCGGAUGCACAGGGCUCUGUUAAGGGGUAAACCCCAAGCCCCUGUGUCAUUCCAGCCCAUGGGAAUGAGGGGAAAUCCCAUUGAUGUGGAGGGAGGAGCAGCGAUGGAUGCCCAGGCAAAGGGAAUGGAUGGGAAUGUAUGGAUGCUGUGAGCAUCUCCAGGGCAAACUGCUUUGGAAUGAGGAAGCUCCAUACACAUGGAUAUGGUGCAUGGACAUGGAUCCAUUCCCUCCUCCUCUGCUUGGGAGCUCCACAGGGUAAAUAUGCCCUUUGCUAAAGGAAGCAGCUUUGGAUGGUGCCUCCAGUGCUUGGAGCUGGUUCCUGCUCAUCCCUGAUCCAAAGCAUCCUGCUCAUCCCAUGGAAUUCCCAUGUUUGGAUGGAUGACUUCCCUUCUGCAUCAUCAGUUCCGGUGCUUAGAGACAAUGGGGAUCAUUGCUCACAACAGCCUGUUGUUUGCUCCUGGGAUAUGGGUAUCCAUUGACAGGCAGCAUCCGAGGGCAUUCCUCAAAGCUGGAAUUGAGGGAGAUGCUUCUCAGCUCCAUCCUCUAGGCCAUCCCUUCCUGCAGGCAACGAGGAUCCGCUCUAAAGGGAUGGGAAUGGAUUCCCAUCCAUGCUGUGGCAGGGAAUGGCAAUGGAUCCCUGUGGCUGUUUCACAUGGCAGCUGGAUGAUGCUAAGGUCCUUUCCAAGCCAUUGGCUGAUCCUAUGGGACAUCUAUGGGGAGAUAAGCACCUGCAUCCCUUCUCCACGCCUGGAAGAGCAGGGUAUGGAGCCGAGGGCUCCAGGCUGCUUCCAUGGAUCCUUUUGGGCUGGCUUCUCACCUAUGGAUGCCCUCGGGAUGAGUGAUGCUGCUCAAUUGGCUGCUGUUAUCCCUAUGGAUCUGGCUCUUCCCCACAGCUCCUGUCACCUCCUCCAGGCAGGACAAACGUGCUGCAGCAUCCCCCAGCCAUGAGGAUGAGCUGCCAAGCACAAGAGGAGCAAGGUGCCAGCUCCUCAGCAUCCAUCCCACAUUGGCAUCCCUGUAUCCGCAUCCCUGUAUCCACAUCCCUGUAUCCACAUCCCUGUAUCCGCAUCCCUGU